UACCUGCCACUGUUCCACCCUUCUCUUUGGUUUAUUACUUAGGUGCUCAUGAUGGCUAACCCGAAUUCCAACAUUUGUGUAGUUCGCCAGUGGCCAAAGCACCUUCACGAUCGUCCCAGGAAGGCUGGGCAGUCAGAUAUUUUCGCUGUUGUCUCGCCUAGCAGUAGAUGGCAGCUCAGAGCUGCCCGUGGCUUCCAGCCAUUGGUGUCUGGUGCCAUCAGGAGCAGGACUCAGGAGGCCUGGCUGGCCACCUCGUGUUCUGAUCAGGGGCUUCUCGGUCUCCCAGCUCGGGGAUCACAAGGCGUCGGGCUAGGGAGUGCUGGUGAUGGCAUCCUAACAGGCGGGACGUUUUCUUUUCUACUGCCCUUGCUCACUAGUGUGUCUGCCCCAUUUCAUUGCAAGAGGUUUGCCUCAAACUAGUCCAAGCCCCUCAUCUCAUAGUCUGGAGAGGAAGCAAGUCCUCUGCAUCUCAGCAUCAGACAGGGGUCCAGGCAGUCCCUGCUGGAGGCAUCAGGUGCCCACGGGUUGCACUAGCUGUGUAGUAAAGGUCCACCCAUGUAGGCCCUUAGUCCCAGCGUGCUUUUUCCUUGAUCUCAGGCACCUCCAGAGUGACCAUUUGUGGAGCGUGUCGCCAAGGGGCCAGCCGGGAGUGCUGUUAACUCGCUGCAUGAGUGGAUUUUGCUCAGAAUGAUUAGCGACUCAUUUCACAAUUUGUGUCCCAACGUCGUACUGGUCACUCUGAACUGGGAGGACUCUGUCCCCUGCUAGACUUGGCACAUAACAGACACUCAACAAACAUUUACUCGAUGCGUGACAGCAGGCACAGUAAAGGGUCCCCGGGAUGGUAAAGGGGCAUCUGAAGGAGCGGGCCUUGGGAGGAAAUGCAGGAGUAACUUCCGAGCAUCCAGCCCUGUGCUUGAACGGAGAGGACGGUGCUGCAGGAGGGCAGCAGCCCACUUCGUCCGGAAGCUCAUCGCACCUCUGGCCCAAGGCACCCUGGUGAUUUCAUGGCGGGGACGCAACUGCAAAGGUCAUUACAAGAUGUGGAAGGCAUCCGGGUGGGUCACCGAGUGCUUCCAGAUACCCUCCCUCAAGCCUUCCACACGUGUGUACACACUCAGAGGAUUUCUAGAAGAUCCUUCUUGGAAGGCUCUUUCCAUUCCCAACAGUCCCACAGUGACUUUCUGGUGCACUGUGGGUGCAAAAGCUCUCGUAAAUGCCCUCUUCCUACUCUUCUUUCUACAAGCUUCGUAUUUCCAGCUUCGGUGAUCUUUCCUCACAGAAGAACCUCAACCAGCUAGCUCUUAGCCAUGCCUGGGACCAGGCUGGAAAUUCCACCCUGCCCUCUGGAAUCCAGGUGUGAAAAAAGAGGAAAGCUAUAGGAAAAGUCCCCUUUGUGUCCUAACACUUACCGGGCAGUCACAUCACUGGGCCGGUUGGGGUCACCUCAGAAAGGCCCCAGGUCUUUGAGAACCUCCUUCCACUGCCUUAAAAGCACCCUCUCAAGGAAUCGGUUUUCCAUCUGACUCAGCAAACUCAAAUGCUCCCUUCUGACGGGACAGGGUCCAAGUGGGGACACAGUGUGGGCUGAGUCCAGGCUUCUAGAGAAUGCUAGCUUGACAAGGCAGGGUGAGAUAAUGGAUUGCUCAAAGCUCCGCCCAGCGCUCUGUAGGCUUCCUCAGCCUCCCGGGUUCCAGCUUCCACCCGCCUGGAUGCUUCUCUCAGCUAGACUCUGAACCACAAGGCAAGUAGCAUUAGCAACAUAAGAUUCUGAACAGGUUUUUAUUUUCACAAUCCCCUACUGUCCAACUAAGGUAUUAAGUUAUAAGUCUGUAUGCUGCCCACGACCACCGUCACCACCACCGUCACCACCGCCACAAAAAGGACUAAAAGGCUUACUGCCACAAUUUGGGUCUGGAGAUCUUUUUAAUCCAUUUUUAGUCCAACAUAAAUGAGAAAGAAAAAAAUACUUCUGACAUUUUCAAAGAGCAGAAAUAGGAAAUUAUGUUCAUAUACAUUCAACAUAUACUGCGCUUAUUGGUUACUACAAUACAAAGCAAUGAUCUUUUACAAGUGUAGUUCGCGGGAUGGCACGGUUAAUAGGCUCACUGGCUUUCACCUGGCUGGCUGCUGGAGGACGGCAGCCUACUCUUCCAUCGGCACAGUCCCAUGUAAACACAACAGGCCGAGCACGUGUGUGAGGGGGCGGCUGGGGGCAUGGGAGCUGGAACGAGCCCAGAGAAGUCCAACGGCGGCUGUUCGGGUCUUCUCGGCAGCCUCCUUCUGGUGAGGAGUCAGUGGCCUCACCAAGCGGAGGGGAGACCGGGGACCGUGCAAACACGGGACAGAUCCCAAGAAAGGCUCUCUCUCGCAGUGCGGAAGUCCACUCGAGGGACAUCGGGUCCAGGAGCUGAGCUGCCGGUAUCAGUGAGACGGACGAGCCGCACGGGAAUCCUGUCAGCAACAUCAGGACGGCCAUGCGGGGCACCCGCUUUCUUCUGUGCAAAUUCAGGGUGAAAGACUGGGAGGGGCCUGGGGACCCUUCAUUCUCCUUUCCCAGGAAAAAGGAUCAAGAGUCAAAACAUUUGACAUGUCUUUCUUGGUUUCAAGAUCAGAUCCUCUGUCAGCCCCCAGCCAGCAGAGAAGACUUUGGUUUCUAACAGUGAGGAAACACAGAGAGAAUGACAGACGGUAGCUACUGCAUAUGCACCGCUCCCCGGGGGAGGGAAGGAGACCACUACACCUGUCACUGGCACAAGUGAGCGCUGUUCACAAUUACAAGGUCUACAGAAAACACUCUGAACAAAAGGUGCAAGUCACAAUUCAAAUAGAACAGAAUCUGGUUAAACAUGUCUCUUUUAAACAAAAAUUCCUUUUGUUUUUACUUAUUAAUAAUAAUAAUAAUAAUAACAAUAAUAUCAACAUUUACCCAAAACAAUUCCUACAUGAUCAAGAAUUAAAAUAGGGGCUGAGGAUGCCCAGGGAGGAGGAGAAGGUUAGGAGAGAGGCGGGGCCGAAGGCAACCUCCUGUUCUUCUUUGUCUGUGUCAGAGGCUGAAGGGGAAAAGCGUGUGUGCGUGUGAAGAAACAAUCCUUGUACAGCACAAUAUAAAGUGAGAAGCAAAGGGGACACAAAAAGCACAGUGAACCACUGUUGGGUGUUCAGUCUGUGGGUGGAACCAGCAGGACGGGAAAGGCAGCCAACUUUCCAGGUUGUCAGAGGGGAGCUGAGUUACGCAGCGAGAAGGCUCACACGGAGGGAGAUGCUCUAACUGGCAUCCCCUCCAGGCCAGGCCGCUCUCGGCCCCCACACUAACGCUCCGAUACGCUCUUGGCCAGGCCAGACAAGCUUUUCAUGGGAUCCGGGCGGUCAAGACCUUCCUAGGUUCCAGACUCGGCGGUUCUUUUUUGUUGGUUUUUGCUCUCUUCCUGUUUUCCAAAGCGCCAGGGGCCAUCACCCCUUCCUCUCUCCCUUUCCCCAGCCACUAAGAAUCCAGAGGAUGUUAUCUGUGAGUAGUUGCUCCUGUGGACAAGCAAUGCAGGGAAAUGGAGAAAUGGAGGUGCUCUGUGGGGGGACGCAGGGCAGGGGAGUGGCUCUGGGUCUCCUGGCCUCUAUAAUUUUACCUGCUUUGUUCUUCUGUCUCAGCAAAGGAAAGGAAAAAAGAAAAAAACAAGAAAAAGAGAGAAACAAAUAAAAAAGAAAGAAAAUCACCUCCAAAAGAAAAUAUAUCAAAAAAAAAAAACAAAAACAAACAAAAAAAACAAACGAAACCAAACCUCCAACUCAAAUAUACCAAAUACACUUUCACAAAAGGUGGCGAACACGAAUAUCCUGUUUAUUUCCUUGGUGACUCGGUCACACGAGCAAACAUGGCAAAACCCCCUCAGAACCCGAAAGAACCGCACACUGAUGAACCAAAGUGAGGAAAGGAGCCGUGACGCUCUAGGUGGACAGAAACACAAGGGCAAUUUGGCGCAAUGCUGCUAGAUACUGUUGGUGUAAAGUCAUUUCAUUCCCGAGCUGUACACAAACCUGCAACAGAGCAGACACACACACAGGAGAGUCAGCUCGGAGCAAGAGGCUCAAACAUUCGUUUGAACGCUUGCGCGAAACGCAACUGGCUCCCUUUACCUCAGGUAUUUUAAGAGGUCUGCCACACUGAGGCUCGAAGGUGGGUUUGCCAGACGGCUUAACCUUCAUCACUGUUUUCUGUCAGAGUUUUCCAAGA
Molecule: long non-coding RNA, 4228 nt
Organism: Felis catus (domestic cat)
Lineage: Eukaryota; Metazoa; Chordata; Mammalia; Carnivora; Felidae
Exons: 2
Source: RefSeq, a predicted model, not a curated record